Molecule: ribosomal RNA, 646 nt
Filed under: uncultured Syntrophorhabdus sp.
Lineage: Bacteria; Pseudomonadati; Thermodesulfobacteriota; Syntrophorhabdia; Syntrophorhabdales; Syntrophorhabdaceae
Description: bacterial SSU rRNA
Rfam family: Bacterial small subunit ribosomal RNA
Source: RNAcentral
GGAAUGUUGGCUUCGGCUGACUAGUACCGUGGCGAACGGGUGAGUAACACGUGGGUAAUCUGCCCUUGAGUUCGGGAUAACCUUGCGAAAGCGCUGCUAAUACCGGAUAAGACCACAUGACCCAGGUCGUGCGGUAAAAGGUGGCUUUAUUUUCGGAUGAGGCUAUCACUUGAGGAUGAGCCCAUGGCCUAUCAGCUUGUUGGUGAGGUAAAAGCUUACCAAGGCUAUGACGGGUAGCUGGUCUAGGAGGACGACCAGCCACACUGGGACUGAGACACGGCCCAGACUCCUACGGGAGGCAGCAGUGGGGAAUAUUGGGCAAUGGGCGAAAGCCUGACCCAGCGACGCCGUGUGGGCGAUGAAGGCCUUCGGGUUGUAAAGCCCCGUGAGGUGGAAAGAAGGGUCCAGAGGUUAAUACCCUUUGGACUUUGACGGUACCACCAGAGGAAGCACCGGCUAACUCCGUGCCAGCAGCCGCGGUAAUACGGAGGGUGCAAGCGUUGUUCGGAAUUACUGGGCGUAAAGGGCGCGUAGGUGGUUGUGUAAGUCAGAUGUGAAAUCCUUAGGCUUAACCUGAGAACUGCAUCUGAUACUGCAUGACUCGAGUACAGCAGAGGGAAACGGAAUUCCUGGUGUAGAGGUGAAA